GCGAUCCGUAGGGAAACUGGCGGGAGUGAGGAGCCGAGGGGCGCGAUGCUGGUGCCCAGGGUGCGCCGCUGGGAGCUGGUUCUCCAUGGGGCCCCGAAGGGGCUGGAAACACCUCUGUGCAGCCUCUAAGCCGCCCGAGUAUCUCCCAGGCCCCCCUGGGACCUUGUGCUCCUUGUGGUAUGCUUUACGUGGGAAUUAGGCUUUCUCUUUUUGGAAGGGAUAAGUAAUUGAUAAAUAAUGGACGCUGAUACCGAACUGUGACCCAUUUCAGAUUUACAUAAACCGUUCUUCAAAGAGCAGAAUAAAGCAGUCUGAAGAACUUUUGGCAAAAUUUUCCCUUGAGGAUUUUUACCCCCCCACUACCACUAUUGCCAAUUUGGGAGCGAAACGGAGAAGUUUAAAACAUUCCAAGUUGUUACUGUUAACAGUUAAGUGAAGGUGACUCAGACAUAAGCUUGAUCAUUCAGGAAACGUUUACAAAGUGACAGACGGAGGGGCCAGACAGGUCCUUCUCGUACUUUUUCCGCCUCGGGAGCCCUGGUAUCGGAACCUCCUCUUCCCUAGCCACGGUUUCCGCGGACGGGGCGGAAGUGAACGCUCCGAGGCCGAAUCAGCUUCCCGGAAGUCUUUGGCAUGCUAGAAGGACGCAUGCGUGCUUGCGUCCUGGGAAAGGCGGGGGCGUGUUCGGAGCGGGCCGCGGUGAUUGCCGCCUCCUCGCUGCUGCGGCCGGCUGCUCUGGCGGGGCCUCGGCAGUUCCGGGCUCCUGCCCGCCGCCUCUGCGCCUGCCAGGUCCCAGCCCGCACCUCUCCUCUGCCCGCAGCGUCAGUGGAGCCGCUAGCGGGGACGGCGUCUGUGCUGUGCUCCCUUGCGGACCCCAGGUUCCCUCCAGCAGAGGUCCGUCCUGUCCCGCGACCCUGGGGACAGACAGCGCUUGGCACGCCGCGGGUAGACAAUGCCAAAAGUCGAGGCUUUGGAGGUGUCUAGAUUGUAUCAACUUUGCAUAUUAUAACUAUGAAGAGAAACAUCUACAACAGUGUUUAGAAAACAACAAGGGGGCUUCUGGCUGAUGAGGUGGCUCAGUUGGAAAAGAUGCCUGCCAAGAGGCCUGAGGAGCUAGAUUCAAUACCCAGACCCCCAUCAUGAAUUGUCUUCUGACCUCUAUUCAUGCGCACACAAAAUAAGAUAUAAUAGAAUUUGAAAAAAUAUAGGAUUUAUGUCAGUAAAAGGCUUCAUCAUUUAUCGUGCAACAAAGAAUAUUUUCUUUUUAUUUUUCUAGUUUUACCAAUCAAUAAUAUGGGGAUAAUAGUUUUCAUUGUAGAAGGAUGAAAUAAUGACCAAAAUGCCUAUAUUAAUAAAUAGUAGUUACUAAUAUAGAAAAGGGUGUCUUGUGUGAUAUCUUUUGGUGACAUGAUUUAUUUCUGUAUUCUAUGUGUAAGUACUAUCAUUGCAUGGUAACUCCAAUAAAAAACACAUAGAAAGUCUGUAUUGCCUACUGGUGACUGCACAGGGCACUAACCCAAAUCAUCCAGCCCCAAGCUUUACCUUUUUUUGUCCUUUAUGUACAAAAAUCACAUCCUGGUUGACACACUUUGAUUAAUAAGAACAUUAAGGAAGAUAGGUGAGUACAUUUAGGGACUUCCCUGGAUUCUGGAACCAGGGAUUAGGUCUUUGAUGGAUUAGGUCCAUGUUCCCAUUUUGGCAGGUGUUGGAACCUGUGUGCUAGGUUCCAAGGUCAGAAUGGUGUCUCCAGCAUGGCUUGUGCUAAGGUCUGGGAGCCUGUUACUCUAGUGCCACACUAGAUGUAAGAGGUUUAAUGGCUUUUCUUGUUUUGGUGUAACAAAUGUUGGAAUUACAAAUUAAUAUUUUUACAUUAAUUAUUUGUAAUCUUUUUAUCCAUGAUUAUUCAUGUUUGGGAAUAUCCUUUCUCAGAUUUAUGUAUAUGUGUAUUAUAGUUUUCAAACUAGAAUUAUAAAUUUGGUUUAGUGAUUUGCUAAGGAUAGUGAAGAUGAAAUUAUGGAAGAAUCCGGGGCAUGAUGGCAUAUGCAUUUAAUCCAGCACUCAACAGGCAGAGGUAGGCAGAUAUCUUUGAGUUGGAGGCCUCUCUGGUCUACAUAUGUACAUUGUGAUGGUUUGCUUUCUCAUGAAACAGUAAUUUUUACUUAAUUUUAGUUUCAGUAAGCAUUUUUGUCCUUGUUACAAGGUGUCUAGGGCUUCCCAUGCUGAAGUUACUAAUUUAGUUCCAGUGAGCCAUGUAAAUCCUACUUUAAUAUAGUUUAUUGUUUCUUUAUUUUGUAUGGUAGAAACACUAAACAGUGAAUAUAUUUAUUAUAAUUAUUGCUUUUACAUCUUUUAAAGAAAUGGGAGAACUAGCUGGGUGGUAGUGGCACACACCUUUAAUCCCAGCACUUGAGAGGUAGAGACUGGCAGAUCUCUGUGAGUUCGAGGCCAGCUCUGGACUACAGAGUGGGUUCCAGAACAGGUUCCAAAGCUACAGAGAAACCCUGUCUCGAGGGGGAAUAAAAGAGAAAGAAAUGGGAGAACUGAAGAAGUCAAAUGUGAAUUUACGGCUUUUGUUAUUAACUUUAUCCUCCAAGAUUUUCUUUUGUUUCUUGUGGAAUUCAGUUUGCCAUCUGAGGUAAUUUCUAAAGCUUUGCUCUGCUCUGCUAUAAAUCAGUUUCAUCCUGGUUGGAGAUGUGGUGAUUUAUGAUUUAUGAUUUGUCGCGACCGCCUCGACCAGCAAGGAAGACGCAACGCUGAGACUCUUCCUUAAGCAGUUUACUCAGGAACCUUGAACAAUCUUCUGACCCCGGGGAAAGGCCCCCCACAGCUUAAAAGCACUCUUGCCAGCCAACCCCAGAACGCCACGUGGCUAAGGCAGAUAGGCUCGCAUUUGCUGAUGCAAGUUUGAAUCUUAGACCAAGCCAAAUAAGGAGUUGUUUAUUCCAGAGAGUGCUCACCCUCGGGAUGGUGGAAGGCGGAAACCGGCGCCAUCUUUAAGGCGUGGAGAGCAUCGAAGCUCUCCACAGUUCCCCCUUCUUUAUUAAAAAACAGAGCGGGUGAAGAUAGA
This 3067-nucleotide long non-coding RNA is filed under the name Cricetulus griseus (Chinese hamster). Its description in RNAcentral is "lncRNA (ENSCGRG00000024553.1)". Lineage: Eukaryota; Metazoa; Chordata; Mammalia; Rodentia; Cricetidae. The record is from RNAcentral.